RNAcentral lists this ribosomal RNA (497 nucleotides) under uncultured bacterium. RNAcentral describes it as "partial 16S ribosomal RNA". It matches the Rfam family "Bacterial small subunit ribosomal RNA", at positions 28 to 507 of the family's 1533-position model. The record is from RNAcentral.
GAUGAACGCUGGCGGCGUGCCUAAUACAUGCAAGUCGAGCGAACAGAUGAGGAGCUUGCUUCUCUGAUGUUAGCGGCGGACGGGUGAGUAACACGUGGAUAACCUACCUAUAAGACUGGGAUAACUUCGGGAAACCGGAGCUAAUACCGGAUAAUAUAUUGAACCGCAUGGUUCAAUAGUGAAAGACGGUUUUGCUGUCACUUAUAGAUGGAUCCGCGCCGCAUUAGCUAGUUGGUAAGGUAACGGCUUACCAAGGCAACGAUGCGUAGCCGACCUGAGAGGGUGAUCGGCCACACUGGAACUGAGACACGGUCCAGACUCCUACGGGAGGCAGCAGUAGGGAAUCUUCCGCAAUGGGCGAAAGCCUGACGGAGCAACGCCGCGUGAGUGAUGAAGGUCUUCGGAUCGUAAAACUCUGUUAUUAGGGAAGAACAAAUGUGUAAGUACCUAUGCACGUCUUGACGGUACCUAAUCAGAAAGCCACGGCUAACUACGUG